GAUGAACGCUGGCGGCGUGCUUAAUACAUGCGAGUCGAACGGACAGGCCCUGCUCUUGCGGCGUGCUUGUGUGGCGAACGGGUGAGUAACACGUGAGUAACCUGCCCUUGACUUUGGGAUAACUUCAGGAAAAUGGGGCUAAUAUCGGAUAGGAGAUCUUGCUGCAUGGUGGGGGUUGGAAAGUUUCGGCGGUUGGGGCUGGACUCGCGGCUUAUGAGCUUGUUGGUGGGGUAGUGGCUUACCAAGGCUUUGACGGGUAGCCGGCCUGAGAGGGGGACCGGCCACAUUGGGACUGAGAGACGGCGCAGACUCCUACGGGAGGCAGCAGUCGGGAAUAUUGCACAAUGGGCGGAAGCCUGAUGCAGCAACGCCGCGUGCGGGAUGACGGCCUUCGGGUUGUAAACCGCUUUCGCCUUUGACGAAGCGUGAGUGACGGUAAUGGGUAAAGAAGCACCGGCUAACUACGUG
This 468-nucleotide ribosomal RNA is filed under the name uncultured bacterium. RNAcentral's name for it is "partial 16S ribosomal RNA". It matches the Rfam family "Bacterial small subunit ribosomal RNA", at positions 28 to 507 of the family's 1533-position model. The record is from RNAcentral.